Long non-coding RNA from Homo sapiens (human), 1078 nucleotides. Ensembl annotates it as CHD2 adjacent suppressive regulatory RNA. Its record names the gene CHASERR. The record is from Ensembl. Lineage: Eukaryota; Metazoa; Chordata; Mammalia; Primates; Hominidae.
CUGAUAGAUACUAAGAUAAGAAAUAACUGCAACCAUAAAUGUAUACAGGUUAUGUGUCCAUGAGCCAUCUCUUCAGUUUGCCCAUAGAUUUUUGUCUGUGGAAUAUUUUCUUGUUUCAUCACACUGAAUCGUUGGCCAAGAAAUGCUUGAAAAUCAAAACAUUAAUAUCAUCUUUCUUCUUUUUUUUAAAGGUGACUUAAGAGAUUAAAAUUAAUUUGGUUGCUGUUGGUUCUGAACAAAUAAUGAGUUCUUUUAUUUGAGGUAUGCCAUUUUGAAGACUGAGACGUUGGAGUUUUAUCCUAGAGGAUAAAGGAAAUCUUUGGGAAAGUCAGUAUUUUAUAUAGCAAGUAAGUAAAUGUUUUUACCCAACAUCUGCAAUUGAAUAGUUACCAACAUUUAAGUAGAAAAAUACCAUUAAAGUUUGUUAAUGAAACAAACUGUAGACUACUUAUCACUGAAAGGAUGAGAAAACCAUCAAAUUUCUUUGCCUGACAUUGAAAACACUUCUAUUACUAUCAAGACAGUCGAUGCAUGUAAUUUAUAUUGGAGCAGGAAGACAUUUAGUACUUCUUAAUAAAAUGGUGCUUUAGGAUUGUGGUUAAAUCUGCAGUAAAGUCAUCAAGAUUAUGUUUUUACAAAUCUGGUAUAUACAGUCUUAAGCCUUUUUUUUUUUUUUUUUUUGAUUGUACAAAUCACAUUUUAGGAAUGGUCUGGAAUUUUGCAUUUGCUGAUCGUAGGAUUCUUAACAACAUUUCAAAAACUAAAUAGACACUUUCAUAUCUUAGGCAUUUAAUAGAUUUAAAAUACUCAUUUUAAUUGUUUUCAUGAGUUUUCAAACAGGUCCAAAAAUGUGUUGUUUUCUAGGAAAUGAGAGUUAAUGCAUCUAAAGAGUCCUCUAAUUUAAUUGCUUAGUAAUUGCUUUUAAAGCAUGAAAGAUAGAGAUAAUUUUCACGCGCAGUAGGUAUUGGGCCCCCAGCAUACCAUGUAUAUCACACUUUAAAAUCUUAAAGCUAGAUACGUGAAUUUAAAAGAAUGUCCACUGAUGUUUUUAAGGAAAUAUGCCUUUUUUGUAAGUUAA